This 427-nucleotide ribosomal RNA is filed under the name uncultured bacterium. RNAcentral describes it as "partial 16S ribosomal RNA". It matches the Rfam family "Bacterial small subunit ribosomal RNA", at positions 355 to 774 of the family's 1533-position model. The record is from RNAcentral.
UAGGGAAUCUUCCGCAAUGGACGAAAGUCUGACGGAGCAACGCCGCGUGAGUGAUGAAGGUUUUCGGAUCGUAAAACUCUGUUAUUAGGGAAGAACAAAUGCGUAAGUAACUGUGCGCAUCUUGACGGUACCUAAUCAGAAAGCCACGGCUAACUACGUGCCAGCAGCCGCGGUAAUACGUAGGUGACAAGCGUUAUCCGGAAUUAUUGGGCGUAAAGCGCGCGUAGGCGGUUUCUUAAGUCUGAUGUGAAAGCCCACGGCUCAACCGUGGAGGGUCAUUGGAAACUGGGAAACUUGAGUACAGAAGAGGAAAGUGGAAUUCCAUGUGUAGCGGUGAAAUGCGCAGAGAUAUGGAGGAACACCAGUGGCGAAGGCGACUUUCUGGUCUGUAACUGACGCUGAUGUGCGAAAGCGUGGGGAUCAAACA